This 207-nucleotide long non-coding RNA is filed under the name Arabidopsis lyrata. Its description in RNAcentral is "long non-coding RNA (ALYR_LNC003360)". Lineage: Eukaryota; Viridiplantae; Streptophyta; Magnoliopsida; Brassicales; Brassicaceae. The record is from RNAcentral.
GUUUGCAAAUGAGAGCUACAAAGAGAAUAUAAAGAAGAGGAGAAUGAAGGAGAAGAGAGGAGAAGGAGAACAUGCACGAGCAUGCACAAGUCCACACUCAUGCAAGCUCAUGCAAAGUAUCUAGAAAAUUACAAAGGCAUUAAAUGCAAAGUUUGAACAUAAAAAUAAGAUAAUGGGCCAAGGCAAAGUGAUGGGCCUUGGACCACG